This 507-nucleotide ribosomal RNA is filed under the name uncultured bacterium. RNAcentral's name for it is "bacterial SSU rRNA". It matches the Rfam family "Bacterial small subunit ribosomal RNA", at positions 17 to 507 of the family's 1533-position model. The record is from RNAcentral.
UCCUGGCUCAGGAUGAACGCUGGCGGCGUGCCUAACACAUGCAAGUCGAACGGAGCUGCUUUGAUGAAGUUUCGGAUGGAUUUAAAACAGCUUAGUGGCGGACGGGUGAGUAACGCGUGGGUAACCUGCCUCACACUGGGGGAUAACAGUUAGAAAUAGCUGCUAAUACCGCAUAAGCGCACGGUUCCGCAUGGAACAGUGUGAAAAACUCCGGUGGUGUGAGAUGGACCCGCGUCUGAUUAGCCAGUUGGCGGGUAACGGCCCACCUAGUCUUCGAUGGAUAGGGGUUCUGAGAGGAAGGUCCCCCACAUUGGAACUGAGACACGGUCCAAACUCCUACGGGAGGCAGCAGUGAGGAAUAUUGGUCAAUGGGCGAGAGCCUGAACCAGCCAAGUAGCGUGAAGGAUGACUGCCCUAUGGGUUGUAAACUUCUUUUAUAAAGGAAUAAAGUCGGGUAUGCAUACCCGUUUGCAUGUACUUUAUGAAUAAGGAUCGGCUAACUCCGUG